RNAcentral lists this ribosomal RNA (250 nucleotides) under uncultured bacterium. RNAcentral's name for it is "partial 16S ribosomal RNA". It matches the Rfam family "Bacterial small subunit ribosomal RNA", at positions 524 to 773 of the family's 1533-position model. The record is from RNAcentral.
UACAGAGGUCCCAAGCGUUGUUCGGAUUUACUGGGCGUAAAGGGUGCGUAGGCGGUCGAAUAAGUCUGAUGUGAAAUCUUCGAGCUUAACUCGAAAAUGGCAUUGGAUACUAUUCGGCUUGAGGUCUGGAGGGGGGACUGGAAUUCUCGGUGUAGCAGUGAAAUGCGUAGAUAUCGAGAGGAGCACCAGUGGCGAAGGCGAGUCCCUAGACAGGUCCUGACGCUGAGGCACGAAAGCUAGGGGAGCAAAC